UGUGCUAAAAGGACAAACACUAGACAUUGAUAUACUGAAGAGUUUAUUUAAUAAUUAUUAUAAUUUUAAACAGUUUUUCACAGUUAUAUAAAGGCCAGAAACCAUCUAAUUGAUGUAAGGAGAGGUGAAACCUUAACAAUAUAUACUAAUAAAACUAUAUCUUAAAUGCAAAUGGCAAAAAUGACUAAAUUUGUCAAGUUUAUUUAUGUAAUGUUUAUCUAUAUUUUCUUAUUUCUUGUGCCAUCGACAAUUGGAAGUAUUAACAGAUGUUUCAGAGCUUCUUAUUGUCCACCAAAUUUGUGCACAAGACCAUAUGUAGCGAAGUGUAUCAAUCAAAGAUGUAAAUGUGUUUUUCCUCUAAACAAAAAUCUAAUAUAUAUUAAAAGAGAGUAUAAGGGAUACUCUCACCAUAGAGACUCCAACAAAGUACGAACAAUAGAAGAAGAGAGAGUACACUCGUAGACUAUAUUUCCGUAUGACAUUGCAUUUAGUGCAAUACUAGACUAUUUCAUGAGCAGCCAUAUAUUUAUUAUGUUGUCAUAAAAUUGUAGUUAUGCUUUUGUAUAUUAAGAAUAUUCUAUUAAAAUAAAAUAAAAUAAGGCAGCAAAUAGUGAUAUUUAAA
Long non-coding RNA from Vicia villosa (hairy vetch), 622 nucleotides. RefSeq lists it as uncharacterized. The transcript has 2 exons. The record is from RefSeq and is a predicted model, not a curated record. NCBI's taxonomy places the organism in Eukaryota, Viridiplantae, Streptophyta, Magnoliopsida, Fabales, Fabaceae.